Molecule: small nuclear RNA, 109 nt
Organism: Eptesicus fuscus (big brown bat)
Lineage: Eukaryota; Metazoa; Chordata; Mammalia; Chiroptera; Vespertilionidae
Source: RefSeq, a predicted model, not a curated record
AUAGGGCUCGCUUUGACCACAUACAUACUAAAACCGGGAUGAUAUUGAGAAGAUGAGCCUGGGCCUGUGCAAGGGUGACAUGUAAAUUCAUGAAACAUUCCAUACAUUU